CAUGCAAGUCGAGCGAACAGACGAGGAGCUUGCUCUCUGACGUUAGCGGCGGACGGGUGAGUAACACGUGGAUAACCUACCUAUAAGACUGGGAUAACUUCGGGAAACCGGAGCUAAUACCGGAUAAUAUAUUGAACCGCAUGGUUCAAUAGUGAAAGACGGUUUUGCUGUCACUUAUAGAUGGAUCCGCGCCGCAUUAGCUAGUUGGUAAGGUAACGGCUUACCAAGGCAACGAUGCGUAGCCGACCUGAGAGGGUGAUCGGCCACACUGGAACUGAGACACGGUCCAGACUCCUACGGGAGGCAGCAGUAGGGAAUCUUCCGCAAUGGGCGAAAGCCUGACGGAGCAACGCCGCGUGAGUGAUGAAGGUCUUCGGAUCGUAAAACUCUGUUAUUAGGGAAGAACAAAUGUGUAAGUAACUAUGCACGUCUUGACGGUACCUAAUCAGAAAGCCACGGCUAACUACGUGCCAGCAGCCGCGGUAAUACGUAGGUGGCAAGCGUUAUCCGGAAUUAUUGGGCGUAAAGCGCGCGUAGGCGGUUUUUUAAGUCUGAUGUGAAAGCCCACGGCUCAACCGUGGAGGGUCAUUGGAAACUGGAAAACUUGAGUGCAGAAGAGGAAAGUGGAAUUCCAUGUGUAGCGGUGAAAUGCGCAGAGAUAUGGAGGAACACCAGUGGCGAAGGCGACUUUCUGGUCUGUAACUGACGCUGAUGUGCGAAAGCGUGGGGAUCAACAGGAUUAGAUACCCUGGUAGUCCACGCCGUAAACGAUG
RNAcentral lists this ribosomal RNA (773 nucleotides) under uncultured Staphylococcus sp. RNAcentral describes it as "bacterial SSU rRNA". It matches the Rfam family "Bacterial small subunit ribosomal RNA", at positions 54 to 811 of the family's 1533-position model. Lineage: Bacteria; Bacillati; Bacillota; Bacilli; Caryophanales; Staphylococcaceae. The record is from RNAcentral.